GCCCCUGCUAGCCCUGACAUUUCAGGAUUCCAUGAAUGAAUGAUGGGAAUGAAUGGAUGGGUGGAUGAUCAAACUGCUAUGGUUCCCGUCUCUGGAUGAAUAAUGUGGAAGUACAGAGAGAGGGAAUGAAUCCAUGAAGCACGGAGUGGCUUGGAAUGUGGGGGAGUUCUGGAACUUGGCAACAGAAGGGCCGGGAGGAGGCUGCUAGCAAUGGCUACGGGGAUGAGAAGGGAUGGAGAAGGGGUCACACUUGAAGUUAAGCACUUGAACCUAAGCACCAGAACCCAGUUCCAGGAUUUCCUCCACCUACUGAGCACCCUGCUGAUAUAUCAAGGGGAUAGGACAAUAAGAUUUACUCCUGGCUCCUAGACAACAUCAGCGUAUUUUCAUAGUGGUCCCAAGCUCCCCAGGGUGAUCAGAAGACCAGGCCUCCCAUCAGCCAGCCAGUGGAGGCUAUUUGGAAGCCCCUCAGCUCAACUGAGAGAGCCAGAGGCCCCUCCAGGCUGCCAGGAUCCAAGGAAGGCAGGAUGAAUCUCCCGCACAGUGGGAAGCAACCUCAGAUUGGGAAGAGUUCCUCCCAAAGUCAACUCAAUAAAACAAAGAAGUCUUAUGGAUAGGUGAUUGAGUACAUAUUGAGUGCCUUCUGUAUGCACUACAUUGGUCUUUCCCUAAUAUUCUUUCUGAUCUUGAGCAAAUCACUUGGUCCUUUGGUAGCUCAUUGUUGUCAUCUCUGAAAUGGCUAAUACUAGCAGUGAGGAGUAAAUUAUAAGAUGCAGGUGAAAAAAAGAAACUUUAUAAGGCACUCUUACUUGCAAUUGUAACACCACAUACACACACACACACACACACACACACACACACACGCAUCCCUCUGAUUGAGUUGGUCAUUUUGGAUCUCUA
Molecule: long non-coding RNA, 900 nt
Filed under: Homo sapiens (human)
Lineage: Eukaryota; Metazoa; Chordata; Mammalia; Primates; Hominidae
Description: HSALNT0334232
Source: RNAcentral